UGAAAUAUAAGGAAACAAUUUAUUUCCAACAAAAAAAAAAAUCCACCCGAAUUUGGAUCACAAACCUAACAAAAUCAUCAAAUUAGAGCACAUCGAACUUAAACAUGAAAGCAAGCGGCAAAUUAACAAUUACUUACCACAAGUCCGAGUAAUGUGGAUAAAAAGGAAAUGUCGUUGGAUUGAAAUUCCUAAUUAUCUCAAACAAAGAAAAACUAUCUUUUCCAGAAGGUAUCAUGGCAAUCGGCGAUACCAACGUCGAACAAGCUAUGAAAAAAACAAGGAUAAAAAGAAUAAUACCCUUUUUUGGUAUUCGCAAAUCCCCCAGUAGCCUAGGAGGAUAAAGCGAACAAAUUAUCUUAGAAGAAAGCUCUCCUGGCUGGUGUGCAGUCUCCCAUAGCAAAAAAGAACCAGAAAGUUGGGCCAUCCGACUGAAGCAAGUUGAGAAGAGGCCAUGUCCAACGAAGAAAGGGUAUCCUGAUAAAAGGGGUAAAAGGGAACUCAAAGUUCCAUAACUAAUGAAUAUUUCUAAAUCUCAAACUUGGGGAGGACGAUCCGCCAUUUGAAAUGGCUUAGGAUGUAAAAGCUCUAUGUUACUAAGAAUGUUGAAAUGAGUUCUAACAAUGGCCAGGUCCUAUUCAUUAAGUUUACUAUAGAUCCCCGAAGCCUAAAAAAUGUCCCUCGUGUCUUCGCUAAGAUUGGCUAGCGCUCAAGAGGAUUCACUUGUUACAUUGGAAAUAUUAGCCCAGGUCGUAAAAUUAUAAGAUUAAUGUAUGUAACAAAGUGAGUCACUAUUCUAUAAAUGAGCACAUCAAAAUAUAUAAUUUCUAUCGAAGAAGAAUUACAGGAAGAAUCACUCCUGAAAGUCAGAUUAUUU
RNAcentral lists this long non-coding RNA (874 nucleotides) under Olea europaea subsp. europaea. Lineage: Eukaryota; Viridiplantae; Streptophyta; Magnoliopsida; Lamiales; Oleaceae. The record is from RNAcentral.